RNAcentral lists this long non-coding RNA (300 nucleotides) under Physcomitrium patens. RNAcentral's name for it is "long non-coding RNA (PPAT_LNC008300)". The record is from RNAcentral. Lineage: Eukaryota; Viridiplantae; Streptophyta; Bryopsida; Funariales; Funariaceae.
UCUAAUAGUUAACUUACUUAAAGAAUCAAGUAUUCAAGUUCCAUCAAGCUUCAUAAGUAGUAUAUAUAUGUAUUUUAGAGGCUACUAAGCCUUAAUCUUAUCCUCCUACCUAUAUUUAAGGUGCUACAAUUUAUAUGAGAUAUAUGCACCUUACUUCUUAUAACUACUAUAUUAAUGUCACGGACACAAAAUACAGACUUGAAAUCUAACAAGAAGUUCAAGAAGAAGUGACAGAACUAGAUUAAACAGAUGAGUACAAGAACAACACCAGAAAGGUGAGCUAGAACUCCAAGAGAUGUG